UACAGAGGAUGCAAGCGUUAUCCGGAAUGAUUGGGCGUAAAGCGUCCGCAGGUGGCUAUGUAAGUCUGCUGUUAAAGAGUGAGGCUCAACCUCAUAAGAGCAGUGGAAACUACAUGGCUAGAGUGCGUUCGGGGCAGAGGGAAUUCCUGGUGUAGCGGUGAAAUGCGUAGAUAUCAGGAAGAACACCGGUGGCGAAAGCGCUCUGCUAGGCCGCAACUGACACUGAGGGACGAAAGCUAGGGGAGCGAAUGGG
RNAcentral lists this ribosomal RNA (253 nucleotides) under uncultured bacterium. RNAcentral describes it as "partial 16S ribosomal RNA". It matches the Rfam family "Bacterial small subunit ribosomal RNA", at positions 524 to 776 of the family's 1533-position model. The record is from RNAcentral.